GUUGAACGCUGGCGGCGUGCCUAACACAUGCAAGUCGAGCGAACGGAGGAGGCGUUUGCUCCGCUGACGUUAGCGGCGGGCGAGUGAUUCCCACGUGGAUAACCUACCUAUAAGACUGGGGUAACUACGGGAGAGCGGAGCCAAUAUCCGAUAAUAUAUUGAACCGCAUGGGUCAUUAGUCCUAGACGGCUCUGCUGUCACUUAUAGAUAGAUCCGAGCCGUUUUAGCUAGUUGGUAGGGUAGCGGCCUACCAAGGCUACGAUGAGUAGCCGAUCUGAGAGGGUGAUCAGUCACACUGGAACUGAGACACGGUCCAGACUCCUACGGGAGGCAGCAGUAGGGAAUAUUCGGCAAUGGGCGGAAGCUUGACGCAGCAACGCCGCGUGUGUGAUGAAGGUCUUCGGAUCGUAAAACACUGUGAUUAGGGAGGAACGAAUGUAUAAUUAGCUAUGGACGUCUUGACGGUACCAACUCAAGAAGCCACGGCUAACUACGUG
This 497-nucleotide ribosomal RNA is filed under the name uncultured bacterium. Its description in RNAcentral is "partial 16S ribosomal RNA". It matches the Rfam family "Bacterial small subunit ribosomal RNA", at positions 28 to 507 of the family's 1533-position model. The record is from RNAcentral.